GAUGAACGCUAGCUAUAGGCUUAACACAUGCAAGUCGAGGGACCGGCACACGGGUGAGUAACGCGUAUCAAACCUGCCCAUAACUAAGGGAUAACCCAGAGAAAGUUGGACUAAUACCUUAUGGUUAUGGCUGGGGAUGCGUCUGCUUAGCUUGUUGGCGGGGUAACGCCCCCCCAAGGCAACGAUAAGUAGGGGUGCUGAGAGGAAGGUCCCCCACAUUGGAACUGAGACCCGGUCCAGACUCCUACGGGAGGCAGCAGUGGGGAAUAUUGCACAAUGGGCGCAAGCCUGAUGCAGCCAUGCCGCGUGUAUGAAGAAGGCUUCGGGUUGUAAAGCACUUUCAGCGGGGAGGCGUUACCCGCAGAAGAAGCACCGGCUAACUCCGUGCCAGCAGCCGCGGUAAUUC
RNAcentral lists this ribosomal RNA (406 nucleotides) under uncultured bacterium. Its description in RNAcentral is "partial 16S ribosomal RNA". It matches the Rfam family "Bacterial small subunit ribosomal RNA", at positions 28 to 526 of the family's 1533-position model. The record is from RNAcentral.